This 478-nucleotide unclassified non-coding RNA is filed under the name Hevea brasiliensis (rubber tree). Lineage: Eukaryota; Viridiplantae; Streptophyta; Magnoliopsida; Malpighiales; Euphorbiaceae. The record is from RNAcentral.
GUAAAGGUUGCUUUUGGGUUCGCAUUAGCUUUUAAAGAAAGACGGAUUCCAUUCAAACGUAAGCCUUGGAGCAGUCACAAGCCAAAGAAGCAGAGGAACUAAAAUCAACAAACAAUACCAGUUGAUUACCCCAGAUGGGAAAGAGGAUCGACAAGCAAGAAAAUUAACUAAAUAACCCCAAAAAGGGAAAAAGGAAAUCAAAAGAGGAAAAGAGAAAAACAAGCAAGUGGAAGAGGGGAAAAACGUCAUGAUCAUAACCCGAAAGUUCAACAGUUUCUCUCUAGUUAGCUAUCUCCUCAAAUAGUAAAACUUUUCUGCCUACACGUACUAGUCUCUUCCGUGUUUAGAAUCAAAGUUCAUCCAAUUUGUAGGAGGAUGAUUAGAAUGAGAGUAAGGACUCCCAAACUGCAUUGAAAAUCUUACGAGUUCAUCUUGUUGAUGAGAAGGUACGGAUGAUGAAGAUGAAGAUGUAGAUGAU